This 465-nucleotide ribosomal RNA is filed under the name uncultured bacterium. Its description in RNAcentral is "partial 16S ribosomal RNA". It matches the Rfam family "Bacterial small subunit ribosomal RNA", at positions 28 to 507 of the family's 1533-position model. The record is from RNAcentral.
GACGAACGCUGGCGGCGUGCUUAACACAUGCAAGUCGUACGGUAAGGCCCUUUCGGGGGUACACGAGUGGCGAACGGGUGAGUAACACGUGAGUAACCUGCCCACAACUUUGGGAUAACGCUAGGAAACUGGUGCUAAUACUGGAUAUGUGCUCCUGCUGCAUGGUGGGGGUUGGAAAGCUCCGGCGGUUGUGGAUGGACUCGCGGCCUAUCAGCUUGUUGGUGGGGUAGUGGCCUACCAAGGCGGCGACGGGUAGCCGGCCUGAGAGGGUGACCGGCCACAUUGGGACUGAGAUACGGCCCAGACUCCUACGGGAGGCAGCAGUGGGGAAUAUUGCACAAUGGGCGCAAGCCUGAUGCAGCAACGCCGCGUGCGGGAUGACGGCCUUCGGGUUGGAAACCGCUUUCAGCAGGGACGAAGCUUUUUGUGACGGUACCUGCAGGAGAAGCACCGGCUAACUACGUG